This 419-nucleotide ribosomal RNA is filed under the name uncultured bacterium. Its description in RNAcentral is "bacterial SSU rRNA". It matches the Rfam family "Bacterial small subunit ribosomal RNA", at positions 32 to 430 of the family's 1533-position model. The record is from RNAcentral.
AAUCAACGCUGGCGGCGUGCCUCAGACAUGCAAGUCGAACGAGAAAGUUCCCUUCGGGGGAUGAGUAAAGUGGCGCACGGGUGAGUAACACGUAGGUAAUCUACCUUCGGGUGGGGAAUAACCCAGGGAAACUUGGGCUAACACCGCAUAAUGCAGCGGCACCACAUGGUGACAGUUGUUAAAGCGGGGGAUUUUAGGACCUCGCGCCUGAAGAGGAGCCUGCGGCGGAUUAGCUAGUUGGAAGGUAACGGCUUACCAAGGCGACGAUCCGUAACCGGCCUGAGAGGGCGGUCGGUCACACUGACACUGACAUACGGGUCAGACUCCUACGGGAGGCAGCAGUAGGGAAUAUUGGACAAUGGGUGAGAGCCUGAUCCAGCCAUGCCGCGUGCAGGAAGAAGGCCUUCUGGGUCGUAAAC